UACGUAGGGUGCGAGCGUUAAUCGGAAUUACUGGGCGUAAAGCGUGCGCAGGUGGUUUUGUAAGUCAGAUGUGAAAUCCCCGGGCUUAACCUGGGAACUGCGUUUGAAACUACAAGGCUAGAGUGUGGCAGAGGGGGGUGGAAUUCCGCGUGUAGCAGUGAAAUGCGUAGAGAUGUGGAGGAACACCGAUGGCGAAGGCAGCCCCCUGGGUCAACACUGACGCUCAGGCACGAAAGCAUGGGGAGCAAACAGG
This 253-nucleotide ribosomal RNA is filed under the name uncultured bacterium. RNAcentral's name for it is "partial 16S ribosomal RNA". It matches the Rfam family "Bacterial small subunit ribosomal RNA", at positions 524 to 776 of the family's 1533-position model. The record is from RNAcentral.